Long non-coding RNA from Cydia pomonella (codling moth), 7442 nucleotides. RefSeq lists it as uncharacterized. NCBI's taxonomy places the organism in Eukaryota, Metazoa, Arthropoda, Insecta, Lepidoptera, Tortricidae. The transcript is spliced from 2 exons. The record is from RefSeq and is a predicted model, not a curated record.
UAGGUUGAAUUAAGAGCUGGCUGAAAUUGUACUGAGCUCUCUAAAAUCUCACAGCUACAAGACAUUUUUUACACGCUAAUUAUUACACUAACAUUCUACCAAUAUCAGAAGGCCUAGAGUUCUUCACGAGCAGCCGCGGCACCGAAGUGAUCCUCAACGGUUUCUGAUUCACCUUCCACCACAGCUAUGGAAUCAAAAAGAUGGCGAUGCUCUAAAUAGAGCUACAGAAAAACAGCUAAAUUUAUAGAACCGUAAUAAACUUCGACCUGUGUAUUUUUUGCUUACUGGACCCGGGUACGUCAUGAAACUACGUCCAAAAGAGAGGUAUGGACAUUGUGAAUGUCAUCUCGCUUUGUGUGGUAGGGCACAGCACAGAGAAUGUCAUUUCAGAUCUAAAUCAGAGCCCAACUGGGGCAGUACCUCCACCUUACAAAAAACCACAGCCAAAUAACACUAGACCCUACUCAUAGUGAUGUGUUCCUGCCGGUGAGUAAGGUUACCAGAGCUUAACAAGGGUGCGGAGUGUUAGGGUCGGCAAUGCGCAUGUAAAUCCUCUGGAGUUGCAGGCGUACAUAGGCUACGGAGACUGCUUACAAUCAGUUGGGCCGUAUGCUUGUUUGCCACCGACAUAUUAUUAAAAAAAAGAAUGAGGUAAAAUAUUUAAUUUGCCUGGCGAACCUUAAAAAUAACCUUACACUACAACAAAACUGUCAAACGAAACUUAAACAUAUUAAGAAAUGCACAUGCCGUGUUCACUAAUAUCCCACCUUGUUUCAGAAGGAGUCCAAUUUUUUAAGACCCUCGGAGGAAAAGAGGUUUUACUCCACAAUGGCUUCAAAUUCACGUAUCAUCGUAAUAUCAACUGUGGAAAACGGUGGAGAUGCUCCAGGGAAUGCUUAGGCUGUAAAGCAGUAGUAUUUACGACUGUUAAUAAUUAUAUCUUAGUGUUUAAGAACGAUCAUAACCACCCACCACAAAAUAAGGCUUUUUUAAACAUGUGCAGAGAUAUCUAGUAUUUUUAACCAACUUCAAUAUUCCAAAAGAAUGAUGACAUCAAUUUUGUGUAAUCCUGUAUUUUCAAUGCAGUUGUGUCGUAAAACCGGAAAUCAGAUCUGGGCACCCUUGAUGGGAUGGUGAUGACCUGGACGUGUACCUUAACGGCUGGCUGAAGAUUACUCAAUAUCGAGACGGAUAGACGUUGAGGGUGGAGGCCUUUGUCCAGCAGUGGGUUACCAAUGAUACCAUGUAACCUAUUAAUAAUAAUAUAUCUGUGAGCUUCUCCUCAAAGACAUGACCAUUUGCCAGCAAGUUCGGCGAAACAGAGGGCCCUCUCGGCCGCUAAGGUUGACUAUAAGAAGGCCUGUGAUUUGGUGUCUCACACAUGGCUGAGAAACGUAUUGGAGCGGUAUAAACUUAAUGCAGCUUUAAUAAUUUCCUUCCUAACCGCAUGUAUGAAGUAGUGGACCACAGUCCUUGGUCAACCAGUAGGCGGGGAUGACCUGCAGGAUUUUUUAAGGAUCGAGCGACGAAUAUUUCAGGGUGAGAGUCUGAGUCCCCUGUGGUUCUACCUAGCUCUGAAUCUCCUUAGUACCCUGCUGAAGGAUUCAGGGUUAGGUUGUCGGCUUCAGAGAGAGGGUGAGGUAAUUUCUCACCAUCUGUACAUGGACGACCUCAAACACCAAAUAACCAAGUUUUGGAGGUGCUAUUUGUUGGUGGUAUUGAAAACCAAAGAAAUGUUCUUGUAAAGCCAUCAAAAUGGAGUUUGGUGUCGAUAAGAGUGCGAUUAUGCAUAUACAGUGGUGGAAAAUAGAUUUUUUUUUUCAGUUUUAGUCAAGAUCAACAAAUUUACAACUUUCUGAGACAGUAUCGUUCAGAUCGAUGUCUGAAUCAGAAACCUACAAUCGUGCUAAUAGAUUGAUCGCAGCGCCGGGCCGUGCUCGUCAACUUGACCAUCCCCCAUGAUGAGAAUAUUGCGAAAGCUGAGAAAGAUAAGUACAGUAAAUACCUAGACUUUGCUCACGAGAUAACCGCCAUGACUAUGGGAUGUUGAUUCGACGAUCAUUGUUUCGAUAGCCGUUUCAGCGAACGGUCCCAUAGCAAAGUGUCUCAACCAACACCUUGAUGGACUCUCGCUACGUGGCUGGCUCAAGGGUCAGAUGCAAAAGUCGGACACAGCACGGAUAGUCCGGCGGUUCCUCUCUCUGCGGCCCUAACCACCGGCAGUUUGGGCCCUGCCCUGCUGCUGGCGGUGCCCCUAGUAUAGGUUAUUUGUGUGUUUAUUUGUACUGAUUUUGUAUUAUAAUUUUAUUUUCAUAUUGUAAAAAACCUAAUCUGAGACAUUAAACGAAUAAAGACGAUAAUAAUAUAAUAUACUUAAUGUUUGUUACUUCAGCAGUGGCAGCAUGUUUCCAUUUUUAUCGCUUGUCACUAUGCCCGUCACUUUCGCACUUACAUACUUGUUAGACCGUGACAGGCAUGGUGACAAAUGAUACAGAGCCGACCAUCUUAGCCCUAAAGAAUCCCGUUAUUUCUCAAUAGAUUUGUUUGUAAGAAUAUACAUCAGAUUGAUCCCAUUUUUCCCAUUUAGCAGGAUAUACGAAAGUACUCCUUAAAUUGGGAUUUUCGUAUGUAAUGAAUCAUUUAUUCUACAUUAUAAAACUGGCAUUUAAUGAAAUGGUACUGCAUAUGGAGACCAGAAUGAAACACUUCAACGACAGGUAUACAUAUUUGGGAAUUUGUCUUCGUUUUGUUCAGCAAGUUAGGUUUUUAAUCAAAAUUUUUGACAAAUUCGACUUUUGAUGAUGGGUUGGUUCCCUGUGGGAUUGCGAAAACUCCUCAAAGGAUUUUUUUAAGCAUCAUCUAUAAAAGAAGCGUUUCAAUUUUAACAGUGCUUUUUGAUGAAAUGAAAUCGCUGAGGAAGGUCAGAAUAGAACUCCUCCACGACAAGUAUUUUACGUGUUAAUGCUGGGUAAUUGUUAUUGUCAUAAUUUUAAUGGUAUUAAAUCUCAGAUUUAUAACCUCAUAUUUAUUGUUUUGUGAAUUCGGUUUUUUUCUCGCUUCGUCAAGGCAAUACCUACUACGAGUAUUUCGGGUGAUGCGUAUCAACUGUAUCGUACACAUGCUCACUAACAUCCUUCCAACUUUCAGAUAUACAGUUCCUCAAAACCACGAAAGGCCGCGACGUAUUGCUCUACAACGGAUUCAAAUUUUCGUACUAUCGCACUGAGGCCACUGAGAGCAGUCCCAACGAAGUCAAGAAAAGAUGGCGAUGCUCCAAGCAGGGUUACAAUGCCUGCAGCGCCGUGGUUUUUACGACUCUAUAAUCAUCGAAGACAUGAAGAACAAGCGUUACGUCCUUCUCAACGGCUUCAGAUUCAGCUUACAUACCAAUAACAACGUAGGCCAGAGAUGGCGCUGCGUUCGCCACUGGGACGGCUGUCAUGCCUUCUGCUACGUUGAUGACGACGUCCUUGUAAAGGCCACGACACACCACAAUCAUAGCGCGGGAGAAGGAAAAAGGCAUAAGAAAAUUACCCCUUACAAAACACGAAUUCUACGAAACAAAUUGAAUUCUGGUCUAGAAAGGAAUGAAUUAUAAGAAGACAACUUUCAAACCCACUACUUACUAGCGCGGCACCAUUAUUUAUGUAUUUACUUUUAUCGCUCACUAAUUUAAUUUGUAAUGGAUUGUUGUUUUUUCUCAUAUAAGUGACUAAUUGUUAUUAUUUUGAGAAAUAAAUCUUUAAACGGAAACCUGUGGUACAUUUAUAUCAGUGCCUGUGAUAGUUAAAAUUGACGAACAACAUUAAAGUAGUCUAAUGUUUUACUACUCAUCAAUACCUUGAUUUGUCAUAACCAUGGCACACUUGGCGCAAACAUAUAAAAGAAUCUCAAUAAUAUAUAUGAAGCCGUACAAGAAAGUUUUAUUACAAUGUAAGAAAAAUGCAAAGUCUUGAAAAAACAUGAAGUAAACUGCUAAUAAUACUAUCUUGUUCCAUAACGAUAAUGUAACACACCAAUACCCACCCACACACCAAUACACCCACAUUCCUAUUUUCCUAGCCAACCUCAUCAACCAAAAACCAAGAAAAAAUUUGGCAGAACAGACUUUAAAUUUUCUUUUCUUUCACGUAAACUACAAAAAAAAAUUGUUAACUGCUUCAUUGAAUAUGUUAUUCGUUGAAUAUGUAAUGGAGGCCCACGUUAAUGUAACAUGUUUUUAUUUUUAUUUAAUAGUCAGUACGGAUAUGAUGGUCGUUCUUGUCUACGUGACAGCGUGAUAAAACGGUGUCCGUCACUUGCAUUGCAGUUCCGCAGUGUUAAAAAGUGACAGGUAUCAAUAUACCUUUUACGUUAUUACGUUUAACGAUAUUUCAAACUACCUAUAAUAUAUGAAAUGUAAUUAUAUAAAAUUCAGUGCACGUAUACAUAAUGUACCUAUAUAUGAUAUACUCGUAUGUAGAGUACGUAUAUGUAUUGUAAAUAGGAUAAGAUAAAUUUUAAAAAUGCAUAUUUGACGACCUAACUCGCCUAGUGGGUAGUGACCCUGCCUAUGAAGCCGAUGGUAUGGAAGGCUAUAUUAUAUAUAUUAAGUAUGUCGUUACCCUUAGUACUUAGUACCCACAACACAAGCCUUUUUGAGCUUACUGUGGGCUUAGUCAAUACAAUUUGUGUAAGGAUGUGCUGUAAUAUUCAAUGAUUUAUGUUCGUUAGAUAAUUUGUUAAAAAGGGAAGGGAAUACUUUUAAACAUUUUAUGCAAUUUUUGCAUUUUAUGCAAGAGUAGGUACUGGUGGCCUAGCAGUAAGAGCAUGUGACAGGUCGCGGGUUCAAACCCCGGUCGUACCAAUGAGUUUUUCGGAACUUACCUAUGUACCAAUUAUUAUUUGAUAUUUACCAGUCGCUUUUCGGUGAAGGAAAACAUCGUGAGGAAACCGGAUUAAUCUCAACAAGGCCUAGUUUACCCUCUGGGUUGGAAGAUCAAAUGGCAGUCGUUUUCGUAAAAACUGCAUACGCCAAAUAUUCGGAUUAGUUGUCAAGCGGACCCCAGGCUACGAGGCUAGACGACGCGAGGAACAAGAAGAAGAUUUUAUGCAAUUUUUGUUAUAUAAUGUUUAUUUUUUACUUUUGUUUUAUUCUUUUAAUACCUACACAUACACACACACGCACAUAAAUUAUAUAAUACACUUAUUUUACAAAAGCUACUUUUUUCUAAAAAUAAGUUACUAAAGAUUAUAUGGCUUUUAUUAAAUGUGUCGAAGUGUAGUCAAAGGUCCCACUUUGUCGCUUACCAUAAGGACGAGAUUUGCUUGUAGCUUUAUACAUAUAACCUGUGAAAGCGUCCUUAUGGCAAGCGACAAAGUGGGACUUUUUGCUUGGAAACGAAACAUAUUUCUAGAAAGCUAUGUGAGAGGACUGUUUAAGGUCAGGAAAAUGCUAGAACUUAUAAUGAAUUGUAUGGCUUCCAGGAGAAGUGGAGUGCGUGUAUCAGCGGCGCGGGCGCCUGUUUUCUUUCCACGACCUUGAAAUUGUGCUGCACCAGUGCUCCAGUGAUUAACCUGCUCCGUUAAGAACCGCUGGCUGUUGGGCCUGAAAGAUUCUCAGCGAUCACGUACUGAUGACAACUGUUGAAUGAAAAGAGCAUGCGACUGGAGAUUACCUUUGACCAGGAGUGAACAUGUACCAGCGGUUUGAUGAUUGUUUUUAUUGUGUUCACCUGCGGCGUCUAUGUGAAUGCCACAAAAGUCAAUGUUUUAAGCUACACAAUAAGAGAUUGCUUGUAUCAUGGUUUACUAUCAUUAAAAUAAUCUAUGUACUCAUCAUACAAGUUGCGAAGUUUUACGGGUUUGUUUUUAAUUUAGAAAAGAACAUUUUAGUGGAUAGUGUUUUUAUAUCAAUCCUGAACAUCACUUUAGUUGUAGUUGGUAAUUUAUUAGUAACAGAUAUUGUCAACCGCUGAGCGCUGUAAAAUCUUUAUUUGCCACGAUAAUUAAUAAAAAAUAUUGUUAUUAAUUUCGAAAAGAAUUGGGAUAGUUGCCAUAAAAAAAUUUUGCAAUGAUCAGAGACCGUCUAUAGAUUAGGUUAGAUUAGGAAUUCCAUAUUAUUUUCACUUAAAAAUGGUACAAAUUAACAAAAAGAUCAACAAUUGUAUACCAAAUAUAAAAUUCUUGUUUGAAAUUAGAGGUUUAGAAAAUGAAACGUAUACAUUCAUAGCAUAACGUGGGAGGUAGACGUUAUGCUAUGUAUACGUAAGUAUACACAACAAAAUGCUGUCAAUUCAAAUGAGCAAGAUUGACCAUUGAAUUACAAAACUGGAGGCGAGGCGUUACUUAUUGCCUUAAUGGCGACAAUAAUUAUUUAGACGAGUAAAUGAUAUCAUAAGGUUUCAAAUAAAAGAUACAAAAUAUGAUAUUGUUAAGAAUACAACAAUAUUAAUAAUUGUACGUCGAGAAAUGUACAAUGUUACAGUACUGUCAUUUAAGUGAACAUGAACUAGUGUUGUGAUAUGACCACAAGAUCGAUGUCAUGUCGUGACUUGGACUAGCUACUUGCCACGAUAACUAGGUAUAUAUUAUAUGCUACUAUAAGUACCAAUUUUAAGAGAAGGAAAUGUGAAUAUAAUUGUAUGUUAAUAAAUAUUAAAUUUUUAGCUCAAGUAAAAUGCAGGCAUAGAUUUUCGAUAUUAUACCAUUUAUAGUCCUCCUCAUCGAUUUCGAUGACGGCGAUCUUAGCAAUUACGGAUUACGCCGAUUAAGUAUGGGCCCUAAUGUGGCUGGCCAGGCCGAACUUGGUCUUACAGACUCGACUCUGUCAUAUUUGUUUACAUUAUUUGCAAUUUCUAUUCAACUUCACUUUAUUCUGCUAUGUUUAUAUUUUACUUAUAUACAUAUAUGAUAAAUGCAAGGAGGUAUUUACCUUGUCAAUAACUUUUAAGGGUAAGAAAAAAUGGUCGUGCAUGUAGAGGAUUUUUUGAACAUAUGGUUCAUACUAGAACAUUUUGUUAUAAAGUGACAUAAAUGUACAGUCAGCAGCUAAAGUAAUCAGGCAGAAUGAUGCGUUCUUAAUAACCUGCACACAACCUACACAAGUUGUGUUAAGUUCAUUCUGCUACUGACUUAUAUGCCAGAAGUUGAACUGUUUUAGGAUUAUUAAGAUUUUUCCUAGUCUACAAUUUAAUAAUUGCUUAUUUAUAUCGCUUGCGUUAAUCGAAUGCUUCCGAGCUUUGAGCUCUAUUUGUAAGGCCACAAAGUGCCAUAUUCUAUAAGACUACGCGGUGCAGUAGGUACCGCUUUAUCAACCCAAUACAAAAUGUUCCUUUUUUAUUAAUAGUGUUGCUUUUGUUGUGUGAUAUAUUUAAAAGACAUAUUAUUAACUGUUUGUUAAAUAGCGGUUUUGGUGACAGAUUGUUUGUUUUUCAUUAAAUUAGAAUGAUUCGAUGUGCUCA